UUAUUGGAGAGUUUGAUCCUGGCUCAGGAUGAACGCUGGCGGCGUGCCUAAUACAUGCAAGUCGAGCGGAUGGAUUAAGAGCUUGCUCUUAUGAAGUUAGCGGCGGACGGGUGAGUAACACGUGGGUAACCUGCCCAUAAGACUGGGAUAACUCCGGGAAACCGGGGCUAAUACCGGAUAACAUUUUGAACCGCAUGGUUCGAAAUUGAAAGGCGGCUUCGGCUGUCACUUAUGGAUGGACCCGCGUCGCAUUAGCUAGUUGGUGAGGUAACGGCUCACCAAGGCAACGAUGCGUAGCCGACCUGAGAGGGUGAUCGGCCACACUGGGACUGAGACACGGCCCAGACUCCUACGGGAGGCAGCAGUAGGGAAUCUUCCGCAAUGGACGAAAGUCUGACGGAGCAACGCCGCGUGAGUGAUGAAGGCUUUCGGGUCGUAA
RNAcentral lists this ribosomal RNA (439 nucleotides) under Bacillus anthracis (anthrax bacterium). RNAcentral describes it as "bacterial SSU rRNA". It matches the Rfam family "Bacterial small subunit ribosomal RNA", at positions 1 to 428 of the family's 1533-position model. Lineage: Bacteria; Bacillati; Bacillota; Bacilli; Caryophanales; Bacillaceae. The record is from RNAcentral.